GACGAACGCUGGCGGCGUGCCUAAUACAUGCAAGUCGAACGAGAGCGACCGGUGCUUGCACUGGUCAAUCUAGUGGCGAACGGGUGAGUAACACGUGGGUAACCUGCCCAUCAGAGGGGGAUAACAUCCGGAAACGGAUGCUAAAACCGCAUAGGUCUUGGAACCGCAUGGUUUGAAGAGGAAAAGAGGCGCAAGCUUCUGCUGAUGGAUGGACCCGCGGUGCAUUAGCUAGUUGGUGAGGUAACGGCUCACCAAGGCCGUGAUGCAUAGCCGACCUGAGAGGGUGAUCGGCCACAUUGGGACUGAGACACGGCCCAAACUCCUACGGGAGGCAGCAGUAGGGAAUCUUCCGCAAUGGACGCAAGUCUGACGGAGCAACGCCGCGUGAGUGAAGAAGGUUUUCGGAUCGUAAAACUCUGUUGUUAGAGAAGAACAAGUGCUAGAGUAACUGUUAGCGCCUUGACGGUAUCUAACCAGAAAGCCACGGCUAACUACGUG
RNAcentral lists this ribosomal RNA (498 nucleotides) under uncultured bacterium. RNAcentral's name for it is "partial 16S ribosomal RNA". It matches the Rfam family "Bacterial small subunit ribosomal RNA", at positions 28 to 507 of the family's 1533-position model. The record is from RNAcentral.